Non-coding RNA from Pelobates cultripes (western spadefoot toad), 77 nucleotides. The record is from the annotation of a GenBank genome assembly. NCBI's taxonomy places the organism in Eukaryota, Metazoa, Chordata, Amphibia, Anura, Pelobatidae.
UACAGGAAUAGCACACAUCAGCUGUACAAUGUAUUUUUAAUGUAUAUUUUGUACAGCUGAUGUGUGCUAUUCCUGUA